RNAcentral lists this ribosomal RNA (468 nucleotides) under uncultured bacterium. RNAcentral's name for it is "partial 16S ribosomal RNA". It matches the Rfam family "Bacterial small subunit ribosomal RNA", at positions 28 to 507 of the family's 1533-position model. The record is from RNAcentral.
GACGAACGCUGGCGGCGUGCUUAACACAUGCAAGUCGAACGGAAAGGCCCUGCUUUUGUGGGGUGCUCGAGUGGCGAACGGGUGAGUGACACGUGAGUAACCUGCCCUUGACUUUGGGAUAACUUCAGGAAACUGGGGCUAAUACCGGAUAGGAGCUCCUGCUGCAUGGUGGGGGUUGGAAAGUUUCGGCGGUUGGGGAUGGACUCGCGGCUUAUCAGCUUGUUGGUGGGGUAGUGGCUUACCAAGGCUUUGACGGGUAGCCGGCCUGAGAGGGUGACCGGCGACAUGGGGACUGAGAUACGGACCAGAGUGCUACGGGAGGCAGCAGGGGGGAAUAUGGCACAAUGGGCGGAAGCCGGAGGCAGCAACGCCGCGUGCGGGAUGACGGCCUUCGGGUUGUAAACCGCUGUCGCCUGUGACGAAGCGUUAGUGACGGUAAUGGGUAAAGAAGCACCGGCUAACUACGUG